RNAcentral lists this ribosomal RNA (649 nucleotides) under Salmonella enterica. Its description in RNAcentral is "partial 23S ribosomal RNA". It matches the Rfam family "Bacterial large subunit ribosomal RNA", at positions 535 to 1190 of the family's 2925-position model. Lineage: Bacteria; Pseudomonadati; Pseudomonadota; Gammaproteobacteria; Enterobacterales; Enterobacteriaceae. The record is from RNAcentral.
GGAGCGAAAGCGACGUUCAACCGCAAAAGAAGCAGAGGGGGCUUAGUGGUGGGGUGACUGCGUACCUUUUGUAUAAUGGGUCAGCGACUUAUAUUCUGUAGCAAGGUUAACCGAAUAGGGGAGCCGGAGGGAAACCGAGUCUUAACCGGGCGUUAAGUUGCAGGGUAUAGACCCGAAACCCGGUGAUCUAGCCAUGGGCAGGUUGAAGGUUGGGUAACACUAACUGGAGGACCGAACCGACUAAUGUUGAAAAAUUAGCGGAUGACCUGUGGCUGGGGGUGAAAGGCCAAUCAAACCGGGAGAUAGCUGGUUCUCCCCGAAAGCUAUUUAGGUAGCGCCUCGUGAAUUCAUCUCCGGGGGUAGAGCACUGUUUCGGCUAGGGGGCCAUCCCGGCUUACCAACCCGAUGCAAACUGCGAAUACCGGAGAAUGUUAUCACGGGAGACACACGGCGGGUGCUAACGUCCGUCGUGAAGAGGGAAACAACCCAGACCGCCAGCUAAGGUCCCAAAGUCAUGGUUAAGUGGGAAACGAUGUGGGAAGGCCCAGACAGCCAGGAUGUUGGCUUAGAAGCAGCCAUCAUUUAAAGAAAGCGUAAUAGCUCACUGGUCGAGUCGGCCUGCGCGGAAGAUGUAACGGGGCUAAACCAU